AACUGAUACUACCUGCGGGAACCUGCGGAAGGAUCAUUAACCUUUCAAAAAACAGGGUGCGUCGCGGCCCCCCUCCGGGGGCGGUUUGGGGUCCUCCCCUUCACGCGCGCACGACUGCAUCCUUACUUUACGAGCACCUUCUGUUCUCCCUCGGCGGGGCAACCUGCCGUUGGAACCGAAUAAACCCUUUUUUGCAUCCAGCAUUACCCGUUCCGAAACAAACAAUCGUUACAACUUUCA
This 240-nucleotide unclassified non-coding RNA is filed under the name soil metagenome. RNAcentral describes it as "partial contains 5.8S ribosomal RNA, internal transcribed spacer 2, and large subunit ribosomal RNA". The record is from RNAcentral.